GACGAACGCUGGCGGCGUGCUUAACACAUGCAAGUCGAACGGAAAGGCCCUGCUUUUGUGGGGUGCUCGAGUGGCGAACGGGUGAGUAACACGUGAGUAACCUGCCCUUGACUUUGGGAUAACUUCAGGAAACUGGGGCUAAUACCGGAUAGGAGCUCCUGCUGCAUGGUGGGGGUUGGAAAGUUUCGGCGGUUGGGGAUGGACUCGCGGCUUAUCAGCUUGUUGGUGGGGUAGUGGCUUACCAAGGCUUUGACGGGUAGCCGGCCUGAGAGGGUGACCGGCCACAUUGGGACUGAGAUACGGCCCAGACUCCUACGGGAGGCAGCAGUGGGGAAUAUUGCACAAUGGGCGGAAGCCGGAUGCAGCAACGCCGCGUGCGGGAUGACGGCCUUCGGGUUGUAAACCGCUUUCGCCUGUGACGAAGCGUGAGUGUCGGUAAUGGGUAAAGAAGCACCGGCUAACUACGU
RNAcentral lists this ribosomal RNA (467 nucleotides) under uncultured bacterium. RNAcentral describes it as "partial 16S ribosomal RNA". It matches the Rfam family "Bacterial small subunit ribosomal RNA", at positions 28 to 506 of the family's 1533-position model. The record is from RNAcentral.